AUGAACGCUAGCUACAGGCUUAACACAUGCAAGUCGAGGGCAGCAUGGUCUUAGCUUGCUAAGGCCGAUGGCGACCGGCGCACGGUGAGUAACACGUAUCCAACCUGCCGUCUACUCUUGGACAGCCUUCUGAAAGGAAGAUUAAUACAAGAUGGCAUCAUGAGUCCGCAUGUUCACAUGAUUAAAGGUAUUCCGGUAGACGAUGGGGAUGCGUUCCAUUAGAUAGUAGCGGGGUAACGGCCCACCUAGUCUUCGAUGGAUAGGGGUUCUGAGAGGAAGGUCCCCCACAUUGGAACUGAGACACGGUCCAAACUCCUACGGGAGGCAGCAGUGAGGAAUAUUGGUCAAUGGGCGAGAGCCUGAACCAGCCAAGUAGCGUGAAGGAUGACUGCCCUAUGGGUUGUAAACUUCUUUUAUAAAGGAAUAAAGUCGGGUAUGGAUACCCGUUUGCAUGUACUUUAUGAAUAAGGAUCGGCUAACUCCGUG
Molecule: ribosomal RNA, 486 nt
Filed under: uncultured bacterium
Lineage: Bacteria
Description: bacterial SSU rRNA
Rfam family: Bacterial small subunit ribosomal RNA
Source: RNAcentral